RNAcentral lists this non-coding RNA (21 nucleotides) under Mus musculus (house mouse). The record is from RNAcentral. Lineage: Eukaryota; Metazoa; Chordata; Mammalia; Rodentia; Muridae.
UGGAAUGGAAAGCGCUUUGGC